AAACCAUGCCCAAGACAUCUCUUCAGAAGUACUUGUAUCUCUCCCAAGCAUCACAUAAAGACUCAGCAUCUUGUUGUUCAAAGCUUGUGAUUUUUUCUCUCUUUUU
Cicer arietinum (chickpea) is the source of this 106-nucleotide non-coding RNA. NCBI's taxonomy places the organism in Eukaryota, Viridiplantae, Streptophyta, Magnoliopsida, Fabales, Fabaceae. The record is from Rfam.